RNAcentral lists this ribosomal RNA (292 nucleotides) under uncultured bacterium. RNAcentral describes it as "partial 16S ribosomal RNA". It matches the Rfam family "Bacterial small subunit ribosomal RNA", at positions 505 to 796 of the family's 1533-position model. The record is from RNAcentral.
GUGCCAGCCGCCGCGGUAAUACGGGGGGGGCAAGCGUUGUUCGGAAUUACUGGGCGUAAAGGGCUCGUAGGCGGCCAACUAAGUCGGAUGUGAAAUCCCCAGGCUCAACCUGGGAACUGCAUCCGAUACUGGAUGGCUUGAAUUCGGGAGAGGGAUGCAGAAUUCCAGGUGUAGCGGUGAAAUGCGUAGAUAUCUGGAGGAAUACCGGUGGCGAAGGCGGCAUCCUGGACCGACAUUGACGCUGAGGAGCGAAAGCUAGGGGAGCAAACGGGAUUAGAAACCCUAGUAGUCC